Musa acuminata AAA Group (dessert banana) is the source of this 2291-nucleotide long non-coding RNA. RefSeq lists it as uncharacterized. The record is from RefSeq and is a predicted model, not a curated record. The transcript is spliced from 3 exons. NCBI's taxonomy places the organism in Eukaryota, Viridiplantae, Streptophyta, Magnoliopsida, Zingiberales, Musaceae.
UCGGGGCUUGCUUGGGUUGCCGCCCCUCGAGAAGCGCAUCUGUAUCCGUUAGAUCUCGAUUUAGCGACUUUGAUCAUCAAAAAUAAUCUCUGCGAUUGUUCUCUUCUCUCGCCCUCUCUUCUCUUCGGCGAAUUCUUGCCGAUCGUCACGCCCGCCCAGUCUUUGAAGGUGUCUUAAGAGAAAGUUAAUUGUGUGCAUAAAAAAAUGUCUCGUAAAGGAUUGAUGGAGCAGGACUUGAGUAAACUCGAUGUUCCACAGCUUCACCCACUAUCACCAGAAUUUGUCUCACGUCUGGCUACUAUUAACCUUGAUGCAGCCCUUGUCAUAGUAAAGAUGAACUAGUGAUGGUACUUGUUUAGUAACACUUUAGUCGAAUAAUAAUAUUCAUGUAUAUAAUAUAAUAAUAUAAGUAGGGCGGGGACGAGGUGGGGAGUGAUCUACCCAUCCCCAACCCCAUAAUUGCACGGGCAAUAUAAAAUGCCCCGUAUCCAUGUUUAUUUUCCUCAUCCCUGCCCCGUUAUGGGCGGGCCCACGGGUACACGUAUUUGUAGGCAUAAUUGACGUAAGCUGUCGAUGGGGGAUCGAGUUGUUGGUGUGAAGAACGUGAUUUGACCAUAAGCUGCAGUAAGCCUUACUGCAGCUUACUGCGCCAGUGUGCACGAGAAAAGGGGAGAAGAUUGCUUCUCAGCCUUGCUUCGAGGCCGGUGUGACCCUCGAAGUCCCACCCUGCCCCAUCCGAGAGAAGAUUCUUCCUUCCCAUCGUCCCUCCGUUGUAGAAGGAGAAAACCCCCCCCCCCCCCCCCCCCCAAAAAAACAAAAGGAAAAGGCAAGCACGGCAAUUUUGGCAUGUGGCAAAGGUAGAGAACUCGUGGGGAGUUUUCUUCUGAGAUCGGCAAGUAUACAUUGGAUGAAUGGAUGGAUGGAUGGAUGGGUUUCCUACAUCUUCUUACUCUAAUGCUCUUUUGUAGUUUUUAGUACCAGAAGAAUAUGAUGCAACUUUUAGUUUCGGUGGUGGUGCCUAUUUGAGGAAAUUGCAAUGCGUGAUGCCCGGUAUUAACUUUUAUUAGUAGAAAACUUGUAAACCGUUGUUCUAACAAUUCGAGUUUCCGAAGAUGAUAGCCAUGUUUGGUAGCAACGUGCGUGUUGAAGAUGCUACGGCGAGGACAUCGAGUUGCACGGGCCUCGCUGUGGUGCAGUGGUUGGACGGAGCACUCAACGUUGUUUGUCCCGUUCGGCUGGGAAUUCUGGGAAGCGGCCAGGUAUGGAAGAUUACCUAAGCUGGCGGUUACAGGGCUUCUACGCUAAUUUGGACCGGAUCCGGAGCCAUCGUGAUUCCCGAUGGAUCCGGGGACAGUCAAACUCAUCAGGGCAAAGCAACUAUCACCGCCCACGCGAUUGGUACGCGCAGUGGGCGCGGAGACGACGCCACGCGGUCGCGACGAAUGAGAUCAGAUCUCCUGCGAACGCUUCGCCCCGCACGCGUCUCAUACCUCCUCCUCCUCCUCCAUCUUCUUCCCUCCAGACCUCCUCCUGGGUUCUCCUGCCAACCCGGCGAUUCCGUUUCAAGAUCCAACGCCGUGGUGACAUCGUGCCCUUGAUCUGUCUCUGAAGCUCUCCUGCAUGUCCCUUCGCAAGAGAAAUCCCAAACAAGACGAAGGAUGUGGAGAUGAUGUUGUUGAGCUCAGUGAAGAGCUGCUCGGAAACAUCGUGCACGAUGGAGGAGGAGGAGGAGCCAUGAAAGCGAUCAAGAAAAAGGCAAAGCAGCUGCUCGAUGGUCAGAACCCAAAGAAGCAGCAGAAGAAGGAGAAGAAGGAGGAGGAGGAGAAGAGGAAUAAGAAUCGGAUCGAGGAAGAGCAGAAGCAAAGAAGCUGGCCUGCGAACCCUCCUCCCCACCUUGCCCAGUCUUUCUCGUUUGACGCCUCCUUCACUUCCGCCGAGGGCUGCUGCCUCCUUCCACCCAUCAGAGCGAACCCCCGCGGUGAUCCCAAGGCGCCCAAGAAGCCCUCCAAUCACAACCUCCUCUUGAGGUCUCUCAUCGAGAGGAACGAUUUCUACUGCAAGGAAUGCAAUGUCCAUCUCAGAUAAGCCCCCAAUUCAAAUCCCUCUUCUUCUUCUUUUUAAAGAGUUGUCAUGUUGACUGCGUAGAUCGAAUGGCCGAGCAUCUCUGUUUGUUUCCUUCUCGUCUUUCGCUGGAAGCCGAUUUGCGAAUCGAUCUCCACGCGAGACCGAUGCCUGAUCCGAUCACUCGUUAAUCCAUGACAGCGUGUCGAGAUGCUGGUUGUCUUCCUCAA